This 860-nucleotide ribosomal RNA is filed under the name uncultured bacterium. RNAcentral describes it as "bacterial SSU rRNA". It matches the Rfam family "Bacterial small subunit ribosomal RNA", at positions 108 to 969 of the family's 1533-position model. The record is from RNAcentral.
GCGGAACACGUACGCAACCUUCCUUUAAGUGGGGGAUAGCCCGGGGAAACUUGGAUUAAUACCCCGUAAUACUAUGAAGUGGCAUCACUUUAUAAUUAUAGCUCCGGCGCUUAAAGAUGGGCGUGCGCCUGAUUAGGUAGUUGGCGGGGUAACGGCCCACCAAGCCUUCGAUCAGCAACUGGUGUGAGAGCACGACCAGUCACACGGGCACUGAGACACGGGCCCGACUCCUACGGGAGGCAGCAGUAAGGAAUAUUGGUCAAUGGACGCAAGUCUGUACCAGCCAUGCCGCGUGGAGGAUGAAGGUCCUCUGGAUUGUAAACUUCUUUUAUUUGGGAAGAAACCCACGAUUUCUAUUGUGGUUGACGGUACCAGAUGAAUAAGCACCGGCUAACUCCGUGCCAGCAGCCGCGAUAAUACGGAGGGUGCAAGCGUUAUCCGGAUUCACUGGGUUUAAAGGGUGCGUAGGCGGGCAGGUAAGUCAGUGGUGAAAUCUCCGAGCUUAACUUGGAAACUGCCGUUGAUACUAUCUGUCUUGAAUGCUGUGGAGGUAAGCGGAAUAUGUCAUGUAGCGGUGAAAUGCUUAGAUAUGACAUAGAACACCUAUUGCGAAGGCAGCUUGCUACACAGAAAUUGACGCUGAGGCACGAAAGCGUGGGGAUCAAACAGGAUUAGAUACCCUGGUAGUCCACGCCCUAAACGAUGGAUACUCGACAUCAGCGAUACACAGUUGGUUUCUGAGCGAAAGCAUUAAGUAUCCCACCUGGGAAGUGCGACCGCAAGGUUGAAACUCAAAGGAAUUGGCGGGGGUCCGCACAAGCGGUGGAGCAUGUGGUUUAAUUCGAUGAUACGCGAGGAAY